This 2173-nucleotide long non-coding RNA is filed under the name Cotesia glomerata. RNAcentral describes it as "uncharacterized LOC123259560, transcript variant X2". The record is from RNAcentral. Lineage: Eukaryota; Metazoa; Arthropoda; Insecta; Hymenoptera; Braconidae.
UUUAAAUAGCUUUGUUGGUGUGUCAAAUAUUAAAUGCAAUUAUUUUUGUUUUUUUAAUUAAAUAAUAUUAAUCCAGCACACUUAAUUACGAAAAAUACCAAGUGUCAUUCACGUUUAACUAAUUUUAAUUAGCCUGUAAUGUCAUGAAUGUCAUUAUCCACACAAAGUCACAUUAGACAGGUAGUAAGCCGGUUGAUGACUUAAAUAAUAAGACACCAUGUCACCGCAAUUGUUCAUUGUACUCACGACACUUAUUAUUAAUUUAUUAUCGACAAAAAAAAAUUUUAAAAAUCAAUUACUGUUUAUACGAACGAAAAAUGAAUAUAGUAUCGUAAAUAAUCGCGAGAAUCACUUGGUACAUGCUCCCAUCCCGUGGCUGCUCGCUCCUCCGUUGGCGGGCUUCGAAUGACGGCGAGCUCUACUGUUUUACCACGCAGCCUUCUGCCGCGCACGUUCCCUUUUUAUCCUUGUUACUCCGGGUAGCAAGCACGGACUGUCAUUGUUCGGUUCUGUUCACCGACGCUGCUGUUCACCCCACAAACACUAACGCACUCAUUUCCGUCUCACUCUGACGGCAGUUCGCGGCAAACUGGCGGGAAAGAGACAGGUUAUGUCUGUGUAGCUGCGCAUGCGCGGAGAAAAUAUCAACCACUUGGUAAAAGCAACCCUCUACCCUCUACUCUGCUUCGGAAAAUAUACACACACAUGUAAAUACACACAAUAUACAUCACGGGAGGCAAACUUGUACACACACGUACUUUGACGGUGGCGCGAUAAAGAAGAUGCACUACUAUACAGUACACUAGUGGCACGAGACGUUGCGAAAACGCUUUGCCACCACUCGAAUGAGGAACCUGAGGUACAGUAUACAUUUAUAGAUAUAUAUAUAUAUAUAUAAGGCUCUAUAGGGUUAGCUAGGUUUAGGUUUAUGUGUAUGUGUAUAUAGAAUUUAUUUUAUAUGUGAAUGAAUAUGUGAGGCCAACAUGUCUAGGUAAAUCUUAGCCAGUCCCGGUUAUUAUUUCAUUAAUGCGUUGCAGUUGGAAAAAAUUGCAUUGUCCCUGCUGUAAGCCAGUGUAAUUUUUUUCACAAUAAUUUAGUUGCAUUUCUGUUAAAAAAAAAAAUGGAGUAAACUGAAUUGAGAAUCAAGUGAAUUGAAUAAACAUAUAAAUAUUAGCGGUGAACGCUAAAAGGAGUGUAAAAAAGGUAUUUAUUUUAAAAAAUGAUAAAAAGGAAUUCGAGACAAUGCGAUAACCAACUAAAAGUUUAUAAGUACGUGAUUUGAAUCUGGUACAAGCGAAGAGACGAUAAGGGACAAGUCUCUGAAAAUGGGCAAUGUAUGGCUAAAGUCGGUCGCCAUGAGCCAUUAACAUACUCUUAUCUAAAAAGACUUGCAAAAGUAUAUAACGCCGAAUAAUAAGAUAGCAGUUACCAACACAGAGAACCAGUCGAGAGUUACUCAGCUCGGCUCUACUCUGUAGUUCCGAGUAAGUAAAAGUAAGGUGGUUAAACACUAAAAAGUAUAAAAAACUACCAUCAGGUUUAUCAGCUUCACAUGUAAUGCUCGUCUCUUUUGAAUUACAUAAAUCAUCCGUAGAGUCCAGCCAGAUCCAGGGUACUGCUGAUGACCACUGGGUAAUGUAUCCAACAAUUAACACAAGUAUACUGUUGCUUUAAAUUCAUUAUCGUUUACUAAUUACUUUCAAUGAUUUCGGGUCAUUGUAUUCCUGCUACUGCUACUCCUGUAAUUUAUUACCUUUGUAAAUACAUAUGUAUGUAUAUGUGUGUUAUUAUUUAUGUCUACGAGAACUUGUUUAUAAACUCAGCCUCGUACUAAUUUAACUACGGUUCGACUGUUAACCGCACCACCAAAGUAACCACACCAGUAUAUAACUUUAUUAUAAAAUUAAAACAGUUUAAUUUUCAAAAUUAUCAAAUACACAUUAAACGUCGCUCUUGAUAAUAAUUUCCAUUCUAUCCAGCUUACAUAUAUACAUAUAUAUUUAUUUAUCACAGUACAAUCAACUGUGAUAUACGUCUGGACACAUACAAUUACAGUUAAUAAAUCAAAAUAUCAAGUAUUGUGAGUAUUUCAAAAGUAUUCUACCGCAAUUUUAAGUUGAAAAUUUUUGAGUUUUAACUUUAAAAAAAUUUUUUUAAUUUAUGAUAAUAAGUA